Molecule: long non-coding RNA, 3598 nt
Organism: Dreissena polymorpha
Lineage: Eukaryota; Metazoa; Mollusca; Bivalvia; Myida; Dreissenidae
Exons: 5
Source: RefSeq, a predicted model, not a curated record
CAUUGAAGCUCCAGUUUUCCAAAAAAGGAUUUCAUUAACAUACAAUCUUCAGAUCAAGGCAAAGAAACUGUUGAUGCUGGAACUAAAUAAAUUCAACCUUGAGGCCAGAAAAAAUAAUCAGAUUAUAAUUUUAUCACAUAGUCUAUCCAAUGUAUGCUUGAUUCUAAUGCGGUACGAUUUCAGACCUUGUCAGACUUACUUCAUUAAGAGAUGUGAUAGAAAAGAGGUACUGCGAAAGCAUCAAAGAGCAGGCGAAUCUGUUGUGGAGUAUACCAACCGGCUAUUCGACAGUUUUGUGCAGUCAUCAGACGUUACCCUGUUGAUAGAACCUUCACCCCAGCAGCAGAAACGACACAGAAUGGAAAACAAUGCCAAAUGUAUUUGCUUAAUUGUUGAAGAGAUGCUCUGCAAAUGAUAGUCUUCAGAACAGUCAUGUUUAGCAUGAAGAGGAUAACAAAUACACGCGGGAGAUUAAUAUUAUAAUUUAUAAUUAUAUAAUAUAUUAUUUGAAGUCUUGUUUUACUUCCGACGUUCAAAUAUUAUUGCCUAAACAUGAUCACGUUUAAAAAUGCAUGCGCUUUUUACGAUAUAUUAGGCAGCACGAGUAGCUUGAUAAAACACUAAUAUACGAAAGUUGCAAACCCUUACCGAUUUGUAAGGAAUGUUUUUAGAUCAUCGUAAACUUUACAGGGACUUGUUCAGAGAAUCGACGGUCACAAAUUUGGGUCAAAGCCAAUAAGAUAUCGUUGUAUACAUGGAAAAAUUAAGUGUUGUAAAUUACAUGUACUUAAUACAUUAUUAAUUAUUUAAACAAACGCACAAUAUAACUUACUUCGCAAUUAUAAACGCAUUAAACACCAAACGCGUCCAUAGUCUGCAAUUAUUUUUCGACUGUAACCACACACGGUUACCGGUGUUGCUAGAAUCACCACUAAAGUGGCGAUAACAUUCGAAUGUUUCAUACACUCGUUUAAGAACGAGUAACGGUAACCAGUUGGACAAGAUUCCAAACACAUACUUUCAAAUAACAUGAUUAAAUUGUUGAAAUGAUAGCUGCGCACGCAGUGUCUGUUUCAAAACAAAGUAUCAUCAUAGUAUUUUUUAACGUAGCGAGUGUCCAUUUCAAUAACGCUAUAAGGACUUUCAGGUUGACACUCGGUAAGACAGAGGCCAUCAUACUAAUAUUUACUUGUUCUGGACAGUAUUUCAUGCACGUUUAAUUAAACAGUAACUUCUCAUUAGAGCAUGACAAACGACAUUCAAAGACUUCUUCGUUGGUCAUCAAAUUCUUAGAGCACAUUUUAUACAGACAUUAUUCUCUAAACACCGACCUACGUUUGAACAAGAAUCUACAUGUAUUCACUGAACGUGAAAUAAAAUGAUAGGGAUGUGAAUUGACAUGAAAGGUAUUACAGUCAACAAUAAUAACAACCUUCUAAGUGAAAGUAGUUCAAGAGAUGGAAGCUCGGAGCUUGAUAUUCGUUAUAGUGGAGGCUGGGAAAGCGGAAGUGACUUUAAUAGAAACAGUAGCGACCAUGAAAGCCACGGGUUGGUCAUCAUUUACACUGGGAAAUACAGCGAAACGCACAGAAGUUCAAGUUUGGUUGAGUUUACUAGGUUGUCAAAUCUUGGCAAAAAAAAAACACGCGUUGACACUGUUUAAUAAGUUGUAAGUGUAAACUAUCUUUUUCGAUUGCGCUGGUAUUAUCUCGGUUCUAAACACUGUACUGUGACAUUUGUUUGUUAUAUUGACUAUACAAUUGUUAAGAAAUAUAUUCAAUAUGUUAUUUUGUACAUUUCUUUCAGUAAGUGUUAUAGUGUAGUUCAUUUGUCGAAAUUCUUUUGUUGCGUCAUUCGCGCGUUUUAUUUCUUGACUUUUUCACAAACAUGUUUACAGUGUAUAACCAAUAUCCAAUAUGCGCUGCACUUGUGAUGACGAUAUAAGGCAAUAUAUUGCCCAGAAUAAUGUUUAUUAAGAACAAAAAAAGUUAAUAUACAAUAACCUCUUAAUGUUCUAAAAUACGUACAAUCAUAAAAAUCUUCUAAUAAAAUCUGUUUGUUUUGGUUAUAUAAAAAAUCAAACAUUGUUAAUAUAGCUUUACAACAAGAAAUGGUUGCUUUCUGAUGCAGUUGAGAAUUAUAAUUGUAUUCAUAAAACCGUUAGAUUUGUAGCUGUGUUAAGAUAUUAAAAAGAAUUAAAUCAGAUAUACAUGCAGUUACGUAACAACAUGGUAAAAACUCGAUGUUGGUGUAUACAUGGUGUACCGGUACUUCAUUUGUUAUUUGUGAAUUGUUACAUUUCUCUGUGUUAAUAUUCGUUGUUUGGUUGUCCAUCUAUGCCUAUAUUAAAUUUCUAAUGUUCGAUUUGUUUAACCAACUGGCGUAAUAAUUGUUCAAUGUUAUUUAAAGUUCCAUAUAUUUUUUAAACAACAUGCUGUUGUUAUUUUUGUAAUUUCAUGCAAAAUUGAACUUUUUCGUUUCAAUUUAAAAAAGUAUUUGAUUGUUUAUGUUUAAUGUACCGGUACGUAUACUAAAAUGUUUAUUAAUAUUACGCCAUAUUGUUACCAAAUUGAUGGAGCUCACACAAACCAUGUGAUCUCAAAUGUUCAUGAACGUCCGUCUGUUCAAUGUAAAAUUGUUCCUUAAUAGCUCCAGAAAAGGGUCAUGUUUCACAAGCAUCGGCAUACUUCUUUCUUAAUGCAAUAUAUAAUUAUGUUAAUAACUUACAAACAUGUAUUAAUUUUGCGUUGUAAAAUUUACAUGAUAUUGCUGUUCUCUACAGCGCAUGUUUUUCUUUCUUUUUUUAACGUCGCUAUCACAAUCUACGCCAUUUUACGUUUGUGUAUCACGUAUAUUUCAUUUUAAGUUCUGUAUUUGCAUUUUUAUAUCCGAACCUUUCCAAACCAUGUUCAAUUGUAAAAUAGCAUUCAUCAUGACCAUUUGCUUUAUUGGUUGUUUGUAGGUCUGUUUAUUUUCAAUAUCGUCAUCGAAUUUCAUUUUUUGCAGGCGUUGUUUUCAGGCACUUAUUUUCAUAAAGCUUCUUCGCGAACACUUAAAAGUUAUUUUUAUAAAAUUGAAUUAGUAAACAUAAUUUUUGUCCUUUGAUAUGCAUAUUAUUUUGGCAUGAAACUAUUUAAUACAAUUAUAUUUAUUAUGUUGCUUGAAUGACAUAGUGCUGUCUUUUGUUAGUAGAAAUCCUAUGGUUUCACACAAGAAUUUCGAAAAUUAAAAUGUCGUUAAGUCAAUCGUAGGGUUAGAUUUGCCCAAGAAGCUGUCUGAAUACAAACGCUUUCUCUUGUGUUUUUAAACACAUUUGCCAUGUGGCCGCGCUAUUUAUUUUUAUUUGUGUUGCCUUUUAUUAAAAAUUUACAUUUUGUUUCUUUUUAUCGAUUUAUUGAAGCUGUUUGGCUUAUUUUAUCAUGUUGACGUAUGGAGUCAUACGUAUUUGAUAAACUAUGCGUUUUAAAACCUACUAUGCCUGUUUUGUUUUGUUUUUAUUUAAGUACUUUUUAUUGCUGUUGUGGAACUUGUAUUCGCUGUCAUCCAUUGUCCAGUAUUAUACUUUGGAAUAAGUAAUAAAACUAUUUGGCUUUCUCGA